UCUUCUUUUUUUUUAUUUUUUUUCU
Molecule: unclassified non-coding RNA, 25 nt
Filed under: Trypanosoma lewisi
Lineage: Eukaryota; Euglenozoa; Kinetoplastea; Trypanosomatida; Trypanosomatidae
Source: RNAcentral